CCCUUAGAUGUUCUGGGCCGCACGCGUGCUACACUGAGUGGAUCAGCGGGUCAGGUUGCGCGAAAGCGUUUCCUAAUCUUUAAAUCCGCUCGUGAUGGGGAUUAACGGUUGCAAUUUUCUGUCAUGAACGAGGAAUACCUUGUAAGCGCGGGUCAUCAUCCCGCGCUGAAUACGUCCCUGCCCUUUGUACACACCGCCCGUCGCUCCUACCGAUUGAGUGGUCCGGUGAGGCUUUGGGAUCUGAGCGGAAAGAGCGUUUCGCUGUUUCUGCUCGGAAAACUCAGUCGAACCUUAUCAUUUAGAGGAAGGAGAAGUCGUAACA
Molecule: ribosomal RNA, 322 nt
Filed under: uncultured eukaryote
Lineage: Eukaryota
Description: partial 18S ribosomal RNA
Rfam family: Eukaryotic small subunit ribosomal RNA
Source: RNAcentral